Molecule: ribosomal RNA, 253 nt
Filed under: uncultured bacterium
Lineage: Bacteria
Description: partial 16S ribosomal RNA
Rfam family: Bacterial small subunit ribosomal RNA
Source: RNAcentral
UACAGAGGUCUCAAGCGUUGUUCGGAUUCAUUGGGCGUAAAGGGCGCGUAGGCUGCGGGGCAAGUCGGGUGUGAAAUCUCAGAGCUCAACUCUGAAACUGCACUCGAUACUGCUUUGCUUGAGGACUGGAGAGGAGAUUGGAAUUCACGGUGUAGCAGUGAAAUGCGUAGAUAUCGUGAGGAAGACCAGUGGCGAAGGCGACUACCUGGCCUGUUCUUGACGCUGAGGCGCGAAAGCUAGGGGAGCAAACGGG